Molecule: ribosomal RNA, 253 nt
Filed under: uncultured bacterium
Lineage: Bacteria
Description: partial 16S ribosomal RNA
Rfam family: Bacterial small subunit ribosomal RNA
Source: RNAcentral
UACAGAGGGUGCAAGCGUUGUUCGGAAUUAUUGGGCGUAAAGGGCGCGUAGGCGGUGCGGUAAGUCUGUAGUGAAAUCUCUGGGCUCAACUCAGAGUCUGCUAUAGAAACUGCCGUGCUUGAGUGUGGGAGAGGUGAGUGGAAUUCCCGGUGUAGCGGUGAAAUGCGUAGAUAUCGGAAGGAACGCCCGUGGCGAAAGCGAGGUCCUGGACGUCAUCUGACGCUGAGACGCGAAAGCUAGGGGAGCGAACGGG